UACGUAGGGUGCAAGCGUUGUCCGGAAUUAUUGGGCGCAAAGGGCUCGUAGGCGGUUUGUCGCGUCGGGAGUGAAAUCCACUGGCUUAACUGGUGGCUUGCUUUCGAUACGGGCAGACUGGAGGUAUGCAGGGGAGAACGGAAUUCCUGGUGUAGCGGUGAAAUGCGCAGAUAUCAGGAGGAACACCGGUGGCGAAGGCGGUUCUCUGGGCAUGUCCUGACGCUGAGGAGCGAAAGUGUGGGGAGCGAACAGG
Molecule: ribosomal RNA, 253 nt
Filed under: uncultured bacterium
Lineage: Bacteria
Description: partial 16S ribosomal RNA
Rfam family: Bacterial small subunit ribosomal RNA
Source: RNAcentral